Non-coding RNA from Pelobates cultripes (western spadefoot toad), 970 nucleotides. NCBI's taxonomy places the organism in Eukaryota, Metazoa, Chordata, Amphibia, Anura, Pelobatidae. The record is from the annotation of a GenBank genome assembly.
GGAGGGAAUGUUGUCGAAACCAAAAAAAAAAAUUUACAAGAUUUCCGGUGAGGUGUGAGUAGCUCGGACUGUUCUUCACGCCCCCCAUCCACAAAAGCUUUAACGGCCUCUUUGAAAACUCAUUUUAUUUUUCCAUUUUAAUUUUUAUUUGAGGAUUUUAAAAAAAAGUUGUUUUUUUCCUCUGUGCCAAAGUGUUUUCAAAAUAGACUACGAUUAUUACACUUCAGAGAAAGCGCCAUGAAAAUGAGGGGGAACCGACAGUAUACCAAAAAUUUCUGCACCAGACGGAGGACAUAUCCAAAUGAGGAAUGAACGAAAGAAAGAAAAAAAAAAAAAGGAGAGAACAAACCAAAAAAGAAACACUCUCUUUUUUUUUAAUUUAUUAUAUAAAAUAAUUUUUUUGUUGCCAUUCUUUUUUGGAAAUGUGAACUUUGAACUUUCUUAAAGGGAUGUGGAACUCAUUUUAGCGUUAGCUUUAGAUGUGAUGGGAAAAAAAGCGUAAUCAGGGGUGAUAGGAAAAAGAUUGUACUGUGAAAGGGAACAAUUUAUCAAAUGCUGUCUGAAGUUGAUUAACCUGUUAACUGCCAGUAAGGCUUGCUUUGAAAAGUUGUUUUAUUUUUUUUCAACGCUUCCCUCGCAGAGGAGGGUUUGAACCCUUUUAUUUCAGUGUUAAAUGGAGUAAGGUUACAGUUUUACAAGGGGAUCGGGGAGGGAGAAACCAGAAUGUGCUUCUGUGAACUGUAUUUAGGACCUUUUCAGAGUUGUCCCAUGUCUACAUUUUAAACGUAAGUUUGUGGGAGAAUUUUUAAAAAAAAAGACAUUUGUAACGAUUACUGGAUCAGCAUUUGUGCUGGAUGCCACUGUCUACUGAAUAAUCCUGGGUUGUCUAUAUAUGCCCCUCCAUAUGUUAAACUAAAAGGUUGGAUAUAACCAUUACUACACUGCAUACUUAUGUAUGCAUAAAUCCACC